RNAcentral lists this transfer RNA (72 nucleotides) under Ovis aries (sheep). It matches the Rfam family "tRNA". From Rfam's summary of the family: Transfer RNA (tRNA) molecules are approximately 80 nucleotides in length. Their secondary structure includes four short double-helical elements and three loops (D, anti-codon, and T loops). The record is from Rfam by way of RNAcentral. Lineage: Eukaryota; Metazoa; Chordata; Mammalia; Artiodactyla; Bovidae.
UCCCAGGUGGCUUAGUGGUAAAGAAUUCCCCUGCCAGUGUAGGAGACCCAGGUUCAAUCCCUGAUCUGGGAA